Topomyia yanbarensis is the source of this 3191-nucleotide long non-coding RNA. RefSeq lists it as uncharacterized. The transcript is spliced from 5 exons. Lineage: Eukaryota; Metazoa; Arthropoda; Insecta; Diptera; Culicidae. The record is from RefSeq and is a predicted model, not a curated record.
CAAACGAUAAGUUUCAUAAUAGUUCCGCGAGACAGCGCUGCUUUCUAUGCGCUGUCACCAAGGCAAACUUUUUCCUUGCGAAAUAAUGGUCAGCGGUAUUAUUUCGCACGGAGGCUCGCGAAAUUUUGACAGGUUGCAAUGAAAAAAUAUAAGAAAACACAAGAUUGGCAAUUUUUUUCAUCGCAACCUGUCAAAAUUUCGUGGUUUAGAAAUUCAAUAUUUCGAAUUUGAAUGCACACCCAAACAAAGCAAAUCAGCUCAACUAAUCUUGUCUCAACAUCCUGGAUCUGGCAAUCAGCCAACCAACAUUAAAUCGAUACAACCGCAGCAGUACCAACUACUCCAAAUCCAGCAACAGCCCCUCAAAAAAGGACCACAUAGCAAUUACUGCUCAAACGAACAACAGGAGUUUACGAAUGAUGGACACAUCGGAAAACAUUUCAUCGGCACAUUCUGCCUUAAAACAUGUCUGCCACUAUUUUUGAAAAUAUCACUGCCUACACAGUGCUCGUGAUUCCAUUCCAGCAGCAGCAAGCAAUCACUAUUCGAGUGCUUAUCGCCAACAUUUCACAGCAAGCUCAGCAGCAGAACCACCUUCAACCACAACAUCAGAAAAUUAAGAUUUCUUCCAGACCAUGACCAUCAUCCUAAAGGUCGGUAGCAAUAACGUUCAACCGACGGUACAACCUGGUCAGCAACCGCAAUUAGUGCAAUAGAUCCAACCCAAAUGUAGAUUUACCAACUGCAAAAAACACAGUAGCAGCAGCAUACUAUACUGUACCAUGCGGUGUGCAGGACUUUUUUAUUCAGUUGGUGCGGCAAGAUCGAACACCAACAACAUAAUAUCAUGGUAAUCACCCAGCAAGAAAACGCAGUGAUAAUGGGCCAACAGAAAACACAACAUCAAGAUGCUCGGAAAGGACUUUCUCUUUCGAACAAACAUAAUGGCACGUCAUCUUCAAUCGGCUAACCGUUUGGAAUAAGCGCUCAUCAUCGGUUUCAUGGCAGGGAAGUGAGCAGGCAAAAGAAGGCAUCGUUUUUUCCGCAAGGUCGCUCUGGUCAAAAUUUCAGCGAAUUGCAAGGAAUAAACCACCCGAGGGACAGUACCCGUGCUGAUUCAGGACGAUUUCCCAUACUUUGUACCUUGCUAUUGAAUUUUAAUACCCGAUCGAAACGAUGGCAAGCGCUGCCGAUAACUGGGUCAGAAAGAUGACGGAUCAAGAAAUUUCUGCACUCGGUUAGCGAACUGAGUACAUAUCACCAAGGAUAAGGAUUCAGAGCCGGCGGCUGGCAGUCCAGAGAAAAAGAAUGCGGAAAAACCUAGUCCACCGGCAGUAGAACCAAAGCUGCACCUGAUGUUUGGAGUUCGGUAGCUACGGAAAUUCUGACUCUAGCAGCUCUAGAAGAAAAACAAGCUGCAAGAGAAAAUGGAGAAACACCUUCCUCCGCGGAAGAUGCAGAGGCAUUCAAGUAAGUCGAAAUCUGCAGAAAAUUUUGAUUAGGACAUAAGGAACAUUGACAGCCUCUCUUUGUUUACUUUCUCUUUCGAUUAUGACGUCACUAUAACACUUUGCACUAAUUUUCCAGUACAUAGCCGAUGGUUUUUACUAAAAUAUUAGGCAAAGAGUUGAGUACUAAAUAUUGAAACGACCGAGUAACAAACAGAAGAGAAAGACCCCAAAGAGAAUCUCAUUGUUGCUUACGUCCUAUUCUAAAUUUUCUCCCGAAAUAUUUAGUAUCAGCUUUAAAAUUAUCCGUGACUAAUCUUUUAGCCCGGCGGAUGCAAGUUUGCUAAUGAAAGAUGUUCACUAAGGUCUAGUAGAAUCAAAGCUGGAUCUGAAGGUGCAGCGAAAGGAUUCUUCUUCGCCGGUUGGUUGGUUAAAACUUUCGAAGUUUUGCACGUGAAGCCGGGAUUACUUCAGGGAGUCUAUGCGAUGGGUUUCAACGCCCUUCCAAGAUUCAGGAGAUGGCUCUACCUACUCUGUUGGCCGGUCCGCCACGGAAUAUAAUCGCCCAGAGUCAGUCGGGAACAGGAAAAAACCGCUGCCUUUGUGCUGGCAAUGCACAGUUGAGUCCAUCAGUUAAAAAACUAUCUGCAGGUGAUUUGCCUUUCCCCCACGUAUGAGCUGGCAAUUCAGAAGGGGGAAGUAGCUGCCAAAAUGGCAAAGUUUUGUCCGGAAAUCAAACUUCUAUACGCCGUUCGCGGUGAGGAGACCGUCAAAGGGGCGAAGCUGACUAAUCAUAUCAUCAUCGGAACACCCGGCAAGCUAAUUGACUGGGGUAUAAAGUUCAGGACGUACGACCUAGUUUUUCCUUCUUGUACUGGACGAGGCGGGUGUUAUGGUCGGUGUUCUUCUUGGCCACGUACGAGCGCGAGGUAAUGGAGUUUGCCGAGUACAUCGUACCCAAUCCGAUCGUCAUUCGGCAGGCGCGGGAGCAAGAAUCACUCGAUAACAUCAAACAGUACUACGUCAAGUUCCGCAACCAGGACGAGAAAUUGUGUGAUUACCGUCGGACAAGCGAUCAUUUUCUGUCAUAUGAUGUAUAGGACAGUUGUAAACGUCCAAGUAAACUUAUUUUCAGAACUGUUAAUCGAUCGAAACAGGUACGAAAAACGGCCGGUUGGUUGACCUGCAGGAUGUCCCAGGAUGGUCACUCGGUAGCGGUACUGUCCGGUAAUCUAACGGUGGAGCAACGGUUGGAACGAACGUUUUGUCCAGGGGUAAGUUCCACCACUUGAUUCUGGCUACAGCACCAGGUUACGGAGAGAUUCUUUCGUCUUAGGUAUCGACGUCGAACAGGUGACCAUUGUCGUCAACUUCGACCUGCCGAUGGAUUAGCAGGGACGAGCCGAUUGCGAAACGUAUCUACAUCGAAUUAGACGCACCGGUAGAUUCGGUAAGUGUGACUCAUUCUUGUGAUCCUAUAGAUUGUAUUUCUUCCCACUUCUUUAACAGAACGGAAUCACCAUCAACCUAGUGGGCAGUGAUCGAAACAUGAUGAUUUGCAGAUCAAUCAAAAAACACUUCCGGAAAAAGAUUCAGUUGCGCGGAGAACUCGGACGAAAUUGAAAAGAUCGCACCGUAAAGUGUUUUCGACCAGCUACUGGUCAUACUUGUUUUGAUUCUGAAUUUAUAAUUUUAUAUUUUUUUAAUUUACAAAUGUAACCAACAGGGUAUCGCAAGCUAAUA